GUAGGUGGCAAGCGUUGUCCGGGAAUUAUUGGGGCGUAAAGCGCGCGCAGGCGGUUCUUUAAGUCUGAUGUGAAAGCCCACGGGCUCAACCGUGGAGGGUCAUUGGAAACUGGAGAACUUGAGUACAGAAGAGGAAAGCGGAAUUCCACGUGUGGCGGUGAAAUGCGUAGAGAUGUGGAGGAACACCAGUGGCGAAGGCGGCUUUCUGGUCUGUAACUGACGCUGAGGCGCGAAAGCGUGGGGAGCAAACAGGAUUAGAUACCCUGGUAGUCCACGCCGUAAACGAUGAGUGCUAAGUGUUGGGGGGUUUCCGCCCCUUAGUGCUGCAGCUAACGCAUUAAGCACUCCGCCUGGGGAGUACGGCCGCAAAGGCUGA
RNAcentral lists this ribosomal RNA (376 nucleotides) under uncultured organism. RNAcentral's name for it is "partial 16S ribosomal RNA". It matches the Rfam family "Bacterial small subunit ribosomal RNA", at positions 527 to 897 of the family's 1533-position model. The record is from RNAcentral.